UACGUAGGGUGCAAGCGUUGUCCGGAAUUAUUGGGCGUAAAGAGCUCGUAGGCGGCCUGUUGCGUCCGCUGUGAAAGCCCGGGGCUUAACCCCGGGUCUGCAGUGGAUACGGGCAGGCUAGAGGUAGGUAGGGGAGAAUGGAAUUCCCGGUGUAGCGGUGAAAUGCGCAGAUAUCGGGAGGAACACCGGUGGCGAAGGCGGUUCUCUGGGCCUUACCUGACGCUGAGGAGCGAAAGCGUGGGGAGCAAACAGG
RNAcentral lists this ribosomal RNA (253 nucleotides) under uncultured bacterium. Its description in RNAcentral is "partial 16S ribosomal RNA". It matches the Rfam family "Bacterial small subunit ribosomal RNA", at positions 524 to 776 of the family's 1533-position model. The record is from RNAcentral.